RNAcentral lists this ribosomal RNA (1959 nucleotides) under human gut metagenome. RNAcentral's name for it is "bacterial LSU rRNA". It matches the Rfam family "Bacterial large subunit ribosomal RNA", at positions 3 to 1996 of the family's 2925-position model. The record is from RNAcentral.
UCAAGCUAAUAAGAGCACAGGGUGGAUGCCCAGGCACCAAACGCCGACGAAAGACGUGGCAAGCUGCGAAAAGUCACGGGGAACCGCAAGCAGGUAUUGAUCCGUGAACGUCUGAAUGGGGAAACCCGGCGGGUUAACAGCCCGUCACUAUUAACUGAAUCAAUAGGUUAAUAGGGGGAACGCGGGGAACUGAAACAUCUCAGUACCCGUAGGAAGAGAAAAUAAAGAAUGAUUUCCUAAGUAGCGGCGAGCGAACGGGAAAGAGGCCAAACCGAAGGGCUUGCUCUUCGGGGUUGUGGAUCAGCAAAAAGGACGGAAGACCUUAGCAGAAGAGGAUUGGAAAGUCCCGCCAGAGAGGGUAAAAGCCCCUUACGCGAAAAGGUCAAACGACGAGCUGACACCAGAGUACCGCAGGACACGAGAAAUCCGGUGGGAAGCCGGGAGGACCACCUCCCAAGCCUAAAUACGAAUUGGUGACCGAUAGCGCAUAGUACCGUGAGGGAAAGGUGAAAAGAACCCCGGGAGGGGAGUGAAAAAGAACCUGAAACCCUGUGUUUACAAGCAGUGAAAGUGCAAGCAAGGCACGAUCACGUACUUUUUGUAGAACGGACCGGCGAGUUACGUUAUGCAGCAAGGUUAAGAACUAAAGGUUCGGAGCCGAAGCGAAAGCGAGUCUGAAUAGGGCGAUAGUUGCAUGACGUAGACCCGAAACCGGGUGACCUAUCCAUGAGCAGGUUGAAGUGGAGGUAAAGCUCCAUGGAGGACCGAACCAGACGUCUGUUGAAAAAGGCGGGGAUGACUUGUGGAUAGGGGAGAAAUUCCAAUCGAACCCGGAGAUAGCUGGUUCUCCUCGAAAUAGCUUUAGGGCUAGCCUUCAGUUAGUCUGCCGCAGGUAGAGCACUGAAUUUCCUAGGGGGCGUCAAAGCCUACCGAAGAAUAUCAAACUGCGAAUGGCGGACAGAUGAUGCCAGGGAGUCAGACUGCACGAGAUAAGUUGGGUGGUCAAAAGGGAAAGAGCCCAGACCUACAGCUAAGGUCCCAAAGUGCGUGUUAAGUGGAAAAGGAUGUGGGAUUUCGAAGACAACUAGGAUGUUGGCUCAGAAGCAGCCAUACAUUCAAAGAGUGCGUAAUAGCUCACUAGUCGAGAGGUCCUGCGCCGAAAAUGUCCGGGGCUAAAACACGACACCGAAGCUGAGGAACAUGAAAAUGUUGGUAGAGGAGCAUUCUUAACGGAACGAAGCUGUACCGUAAGGAGCAGUGGACUGUUAAGAAGAGAGAAUGCCGGAAUGAGUAGCGAGAUGGAGGUGGGAAUCCUCCAGGCCGAAUAUCCAAGGUUUCCAGAGUAAAGCUGAUCUGCUCUGGGUAAGUCGGGGCCUAAGGCGAGGUCGAAAGACGUAGUCGAUGGACAACAGGUUGAGAUUCCUGUACUGCAAUGUAACAGAACUGUGGGGACGCAUGUGGAAAGCAUAAGCCGGGAAUGGAAAGACCGGUACAAGCGGAGGAGGAGACGGGAAGGCAAAUCCGCCCGUCAAUCCAAAGCCGUUAUGUGGAGCGAAAUAAAGUAGUGAAGUAUGCAGGCUGUGUGCCGAGAAAAGCCGCUAUUGUUUUAUAUGUGCCCGUACCGUAAACCGACACAGGUGGAUGAGGAGAGAAUCCUAAGGCCGGCGGGAGAAGCAUUGUUAAGGAACUCGGCAAAAUGACCCCGUAACUUCGGGAGAAGGGGUGCCCACGAAAGUGGGCCGCAGAGAAUAGGCUCAAGCAACUGUUUAGCAAAAACACAGGUCUAUGCAAAACCGAAAGGUGAGGUAUAUGGGCUGACGCCUGCCCGGUGCUGGAAGGUUAAGAGGAGAGGUUAGCGCAAGCGAAGCUUUGAAUUUAAGCCCCAGUAAACGGCGGCCGUAACUAUAACGGUCCUAAGGUAGCGAAAUUCCUUGUCGGGUAAGUUCCGACCCGCACGAA